UNCUGAUUGCACACUAAGGAUGCCACCAGU
Molecule: non-coding RNA, 30 nt
Filed under: Mus musculus (house mouse)
Lineage: Eukaryota; Metazoa; Chordata; Mammalia; Rodentia; Muridae
Source: RNAcentral